GGUUGUGGCUCAGUGAUAGAGUGCUCACCUAACGUGCAUGAGGUACUGGGUUCGAGCCUCAGCACCA
RNAcentral lists this transfer RNA (67 nucleotides) under Marmota monax (woodchuck). Its description in RNAcentral is "tRNA.Val". The record is from RNAcentral. Lineage: Eukaryota; Metazoa; Chordata; Mammalia; Rodentia; Sciuridae.